This 493-nucleotide ribosomal RNA is filed under the name uncultured bacterium. Its description in RNAcentral is "partial 16S ribosomal RNA". It matches the Rfam family "Bacterial small subunit ribosomal RNA", at positions 29 to 507 of the family's 1533-position model. The record is from RNAcentral.
ACGAACGCUGGCGGCGUGCUUAACACAUGCAAGUCGAACGGAAAGGCCUGCUUUCCCUUGUGGAUUGCGGGUGCUCGAGUGGCGAACGGGUGAGUAACACGUGAGUGAUCUGCCCCCAACUUGGGUAUAAGCCUGGGAAACUGGGUCUAAUUCCCGAUAGGACUGCAGGGUGGUGCCUGUGGUGGAAAACGAUUUUCUAGUGGUUGGGGAUGAGCUCGCGGCCUAUCAGCUUGUUGGUGGGGUAAUGGCCUACCAAGGCGGCGACGGGUAGCCGGCCUGAGAGGGUGGACGGCCACAUUGGGACUGAGAUACGGCCCAGACUCCUACGGGAGGCAGCAGUGGGGAAUAUUGCACAAUGGGCGGAAGCCUGAGGCAGCGACGCCGCGUGGGGGAUGACGGACUUCGGGUUGUAAACUCCUUUCGACCGCGAGGAAGCCACCUGGUUGGAAGGGUGGUGACGGUAGUGGUAGAAGAAGCACCGGCUAACUACGUG